UUCUCCACCAAUAUAAUCUCUAGCUCUCUUCCCAUAUCCCAUUAAGUCUUAAGCAGCCAAUAAUCCUAGCCUAGCCAUCUUCCCAUUCAUGGGAAAGCUUCAACUUCUCACCGUUGCCUUGACCGUAUUUCUGGCCGCAGCAGUCGCAGUUGAUGCUAUUGCGGUGGGCAGCGUCGUCACUCCAUCCUUCUUCCAUGGGAUGCUC
This 205-nucleotide long non-coding RNA is filed under the name Linum usitatissimum (flax). RNAcentral describes it as "long non-coding RNA (LUSI_LNC008039)". Lineage: Eukaryota; Viridiplantae; Streptophyta; Magnoliopsida; Malpighiales; Linaceae. The record is from RNAcentral.